CUACGGGGCGCACCAGUGGGGAAUCUUAGACAAUGGGGGAAACCCUGAUCUAGCCAUGCCGCGUGAGCGACGACGGCCCUAGGGUUGUAAAGCUCUUUCAGCAGGGAAGAUAAUGACGGUACCUGCAGAAGAAGUCCCGGCUAACUCCGUGCCAGCAGCCGCGGUAAUACGGAGGGGACUAGCGUUGUUCGGAAUUACUGGGCGUAAAGCGCGCGUAGGCGGAUUGUUAAGUCGGGGGUGAAAUCCCGGGGCUCAACCCCGGAACUGCCCGCGAUACUGGCAGUCUUGAGUUCGAGAGAGGUGAGUGGAAUUCCGAGUGUAGAGGUGAAAUUCGUAGAUAUUCGGAGGAACACCAGUGGCGAAGGCGGCUCACUGGCUCGAUACUGACGCUGAGGUGCGAAAGCGUGGGGAGCAAACAGGAUUAGAUACCCGCGUAGUC
Molecule: ribosomal RNA, 439 nt
Filed under: uncultured bacterium
Lineage: Bacteria
Description: partial 16S ribosomal RNA
Rfam family: Bacterial small subunit ribosomal RNA
Source: RNAcentral